AGUCGUAACAAGGUUUCCGUAGGUGAACCUGCGGAAGGAUCAUUAUAGAAUUGGUAGCUCUGCUACCGUAACUAUACCAUACUGUUAACUUACUCGUUGCCUCCCCAUCAUAUGGGCCCUCUGGUUUUACUGGUUGUGCUCGAUGGGGACAUUAUUUUAAACAUAUUUUGUAAAUAUUCUGUAUCAUUAUAAUAUAUAAUAUUAUAAAACUUUCAACAACGGAUCUCUAGGCUCUU
Molecule: unclassified non-coding RNA, 236 nt
Filed under: fungal sp.
Lineage: Eukaryota; Fungi
Description: partial internal transcribed spacer region
Rfam family: Eukaryotic small subunit ribosomal RNA (bases 1-45)
Source: RNAcentral